GUGGCAGUUUACUGUAAUUCUAAUGACCAUGAUGAGCCUUUGGGGUGAAAAUCGUUAAUAUGCGGGGUGCUUUUUGUUGAAUUUUAAUGAGAGAAUCAAUGUCAUUAAGAGUAGGACAAAGGAAAUAAUCUUGCGAUUCAAUAAAUAAUAGGAGUCUUUGCCGGUGUCUUCUUCUUCAGACAGGAUGUGAUGACGUCACGCAGUCUGUAGCAAUGCAUUGACCGUUACUGGAAAAAAGUGUGGCAAUAGAAAAAUAGUGUGUAUUGUCCUGGGCAGAUUUAUGAUGAGCACUGUUUUUGAAUAAGAAGAAAUAGUUUGAUGCUGGUUUCCUUCUUUGUUUCUUUUCGCUUUUUCCCCCCUUGUCUGACAAACAUGUGCUGACAUGCCUGGGCUUGUUCUGACAUGCUUUCCUUCUGCAUGUAGUUUUUUUCCUUUUGUACAAGGCAUAUUCUUGACGAUAGUGCUGCCUUGAAUGGGAGUAGAGCAAUUCUUAAUAAUUUUGCGAUUCAUUUAGUUCAGAGAGUAACCGCGAGGGGGACAGGUGUGUGACUUUAUGUCUUGCUGAACCUUUUUUUUUUUCCCUGUACAGUAAGACUUUGGGAAUGAAAUGCUACAAUCUCCUCUUGUCUAUGGUGUUUUUCUGCAAUAGUUCCCUACGCAAUCAUUAUAGUAGAAUAAAGGAAAUAAUCUAGGGAUAGUGAUUCAAUAAAUAACAGGUGCCCUGUCUAGAGCGUACGCGUCCUUGAGCCACGCACCUGCAUGAUGACCGCAUACCGAGAGACUAUUGUUUCAGGUUGACCUUGUCUAGAGGAGCAUUAGUGGAAAAAAACUGUGUAGCCCUGAGACAAUAGGAUGAUGUCUGGACCAAUGAGACUGGCCUGCAGGGGACGCAAGGAUUCACUUCUCUCUUGGACACUGGCGGAUGUAGACACGCCUCUCGCAGGUGGCGGUAGGAGCGCGCAGAGGGCGCUACGAGCGCGCGCAUGCGUAGCACCCGUAGAGUGGCGUUUACGUCAGUCCACCUCUGGCUCUCGUUGGGAGAAGACGUGCGGUCGUUCGCUCCGUCGUCACUUGAUCCCUGGCUGUCGACGAGAGCGGACGCUCCGUCGCAGCGGGGAAAAAGGUGAGUGAUUUACCGAUGUUUGCGCGUUGUUUUACCGUGCUCGUGUUAAGCCUUUUCUCGCAUGUUUAGACUUGUUUAGCGGUGUCCAAGCCUGUUGACGCACGUUUACCAUCGUGUGGUUCCCGCCUUGUGUUAGCCGCGAAGUGUUGUGACGCUGUGGUUAGGCCUAGUCGAUUGCCUUAAGCCUUUUCCCCCAAUGUGUAGUGUUUUCUCCGUGCUGUUUAGCAGUAGCGGUUAGGCCUUUUCCCCGCGCUCUGGCAUGCUUAGACUUGUCGAGCAGUGUUGCCAUUUUUACGUGUCGCUAGUACUUUCUUGUUCUCUGUGUUUCUCGUAUAGAGCUACGAUGCUGGCGCCAUCUGGUGUGAUGCCUUGGAACUAGCGUGCCACCUGCCUCUGCAACCGUCGUGCUCCAGUCGCCCCGGCGUGAUUUCUUCAAGAUGGCGUCGUUGAUUUUCAAAUAAAACCUUUCCUACUGUCUG
This is a long non-coding RNA of Ornithodoros turicata, 1602 nucleotides long. RefSeq lists it as uncharacterized. The transcript has 2 exons. The record is from RefSeq and is a predicted model, not a curated record. Lineage: Eukaryota; Metazoa; Arthropoda; Arachnida; Ixodida; Argasidae.